UACAUGGGGUGCAAACGUUGCUCGGAAUCAUUGGGCGUAAAGCGCGCGUAGGCGGUUGCUUAAGUCGGAUGUGAAAGCCCUCGGCUUAACUGAGGAAGUGCAUCCGAAACUGAGCAGCUAGAGUACGAAAGAGGGUCGCGGAAUUCCCGGUGUAGAGGUGAAAUUCGUAGAUAUCGGGAGGAACACCGGUGGCGAAAGCGGCGCACUGGACCAUAACUGACGCUGAGGCGCGAAAGCUAGGGGAGCAAACAGG
RNAcentral lists this ribosomal RNA (253 nucleotides) under uncultured bacterium. Its description in RNAcentral is "partial 16S ribosomal RNA". It matches the Rfam family "Bacterial small subunit ribosomal RNA", at positions 524 to 776 of the family's 1533-position model. The record is from RNAcentral.